Symphalangus syndactylus (siamang) is the source of this 945-nucleotide long non-coding RNA. RefSeq lists it as uncharacterized. NCBI's taxonomy places the organism in Eukaryota, Metazoa, Chordata, Mammalia, Primates, Hylobatidae. The record is from RefSeq and is a predicted model, not a curated record.
UCCAGUCAACAGCAGUCUGCCAUAGGCUGGGGAAGAAAAUGAACAUUAAUACUUAUUUCACUUGUGCUCAGUAAGAUGCUUAUCUCCACCAUGUUCCCCUCUUCUCUGCCAUCUCUCUUCCUGGGAAUAAGGUUGCCUGCUCAGAAUCAGCCCAGGAAUAGAUUAUGGUGGUUGCCACUGAGCAAGUGGAUAGAGAAAAUUCGCAUAGGUUGAACCUCCAAUGUUUAAACAUAGUUAAGCGGGAGCAUGAGACAAAAACUUCCAAGUACCCUGGCUGAAGCUUGAAAGGCAGUGCUCUCCUCAAAUUGGAAAAGGUAAAAAUAAGCACAAACAAAAUAACCACAAAGAAGAUACUACAUCCCAAGAUCAGAGAGGAGUUCAUGAGAGUGCUUGCUGCCUUAAACGAGGCUCAUGUUUAGGCCUUAAUGCUAUUCCAAAGCAUUAAAAGAAUCUUCAAUAGAAAGAGUGAAAUCUCAUAUGGUGCAGACGUCAGAAACAUGACCCAGAAGGCAAAGGUGAGGAAUCAAGAGGUGAAGGAGUUUGCCUAUGGUCACACAGCCUGAAUGCAGCAGGUCCUCUAAGCCUGCCCCACAGCAUUUUUCCACGGUAUCACAUGUCUGUCAUGCAUACAGCUUUGGAGCUCUGUGGCCUCACAUGACUGGCUAAUUCAGGAGCUUCACAGAGGAUGAAACUGAUAACUCAGGUGAUAUUCCGAAGGUCCCACAGUAUGUACUUGGAGAAGCCUUCCUGUGGUCUUGCCAUUUAACUAGAGGAACCCUUUCAACUGGAGUGGCCAUGUUAGGGUCGAAGAUACACCCAUAAUACUAUCUACCUGCCUUUAGUCUCUGAAAGGACAUCAACUGGAUUUUUUUUUUUUUACUUCUUUUUUUCUUUUUGCAUCUAUGCAAAUUGCUAAGAAAGGAAGUCGGGAUGGUAAUAUUACCA